UACGUAGGUGGCAAGCGUUGUCCGGAAUUACUGGGCGUAAAGGGCGCGUAGGCGGACCUUCAAGUCAAGGGUGAAAGGCCUGGGCUCAACCUGGGAACUGCAUCCAAAACUGGCAGGCUAGAGUACGGUAGAGGGUGGUGGAAUUUCCUGUGUAGCGGUGAAAUGCGUAGAUAUAGGAAGGAACACCAGUGGCGAAGGCGACCACCUGGACUGAUACUGACACUGUGGUGCGAAAGCGUGGGGAGCAAACAGG
This 253-nucleotide unclassified non-coding RNA is filed under the name uncultured Pseudomonadaceae bacterium. RNAcentral's name for it is "contains 16S-23S intergenic spacer region". It matches the Rfam family "Bacterial small subunit ribosomal RNA", at positions 524 to 776 of the family's 1533-position model. The record is from RNAcentral. Lineage: Bacteria; Pseudomonadati; Pseudomonadota; Gammaproteobacteria; Pseudomonadales; Pseudomonadaceae.